RNAcentral lists this ribosomal RNA (404 nucleotides) under Actinomycetes bacterium. RNAcentral's name for it is "Actinobacteria bacterium partial 16S ribosomal RNA". It matches the Rfam family "Bacterial small subunit ribosomal RNA", at positions 355 to 776 of the family's 1533-position model. Lineage: Bacteria; Bacillati; Actinomycetota; Actinomycetes. The record is from RNAcentral.
UGGGGAAUAUUGGACAAUGGGCGCAAGCCUGAUCCAGCCAUGCCGCGUGAGUGAUGAAGGCCCUAGGGUUGUAAAGCUCUUUGACCGGGGAAGAUAAUGACGGUAACCGGAGAAGAAGCCCCGGCUAACUUCGUGCCAGCAGCCGCGGGAAUACGAAGGGGGCUAGCGUUGUUCGGAUUUACUGGGCGUAAAGCGCACGUAGGCGGACUUUUAAGUCAGGGGUGAAAUCCCGGGGCUCAACCCCGGAACUGCCUUUGAUACUGGAAGUCUUGAGUAUGGUAGAGGUGAGUGGAAUUCCCAGUGUAGAGGUGAAAUUCGUAGAUAUUCGGAGGAACACCAGUGGCGAAGGCGGCUAACUGGACCAUUACUGACGCUGAGGUGCGAAAGCGUGGGGAGCAAACAGG